This 375-nucleotide non-coding RNA is filed under the name Onchocerca ochengi. Its description in RNAcentral is "Eukaryotic large subunit ribosomal RNA". It matches the Rfam family "Eukaryotic large subunit ribosomal RNA", at positions 955 to 1444 of the family's 3401-position model. Lineage: Eukaryota; Metazoa; Nematoda; Chromadorea; Rhabditida; Onchocercidae. The record is from Rfam by way of RNAcentral.
UUUCCUCUGAAGUUUCUCUCAGGAUAGCUGGAAUACGUAAUGAAGCUGUUAUAUUCGAUAAAGCGAAUGAUUAGAGGAAUUGUGGGACGAAAUGUCUUCAACCUAUUCUCAAACUUUCAGUGAGUAUGACAUUUUGCUUGCUUGCAUGAAGCAUAGACAUUGAAUAUGUGCUUCAAGAGGCUAUCUUUGAUGAGCAAAACUGGCGCUGUGGGAUGAAUCAAACAUUGAGUUAAAUUCAUUAAGUUCUUCAUAUGACUCAUAAUCCUCCGCAGCAUUGACAAUUUCAGUUCAAAUCUUCUUGCUAUCAUUUUGAUUAAGGUCAAGUGAAUGAAAUGAAUGCUUGGUUAUAGAAUGCUCAGAUCGACAUUCACGGUG